This 280-nucleotide unclassified non-coding RNA is filed under the name uncultured fungus. RNAcentral's name for it is "partial contains 5.8S ribosomal RNA, internal transcribed spacer 2, and large subunit ribosomal RNA". The stretch from base 1 to 52 matches the Rfam family "5.8S ribosomal RNA", at positions 103 to 154 of the family's 154-position model. Lineage: Eukaryota; Fungi. The record is from RNAcentral.
AACGCACAUUGCGCCCUUUGGUAUUCCGAAGGGCAUGCCUGUUCGAGCGUCAUUAUCACCCCUCAAGCCCCCGGCUUGGUGUUGGACGGUCUCGGUCGGUGGCCUCGCCCCGACCCCUCCCAAAGAUAAUGACGGCGGCCUCGUGGGACCCCCGGCACACUGAGCUUCUUUGUGAGCACGUGCUGGAUCUAGGGUCACCGAGCCCCGGUCGACGACGCCCCUCGGGGCGUCUUCUUUCUAGGCUGACCUCGGAUCAGGUAGGAAUACCCGCUGAACUUAA